This 216-nucleotide ribosomal RNA is filed under the name Glomeromycotina sp. RNAcentral describes it as "partial small subunit ribosomal RNA". The stretch from base 40 to 216 matches the Rfam family "Eukaryotic small subunit ribosomal RNA", at positions 686 to 864 of the family's 1831-position model. The record is from RNAcentral. Lineage: Eukaryota; Fungi; Glomeromycota.
GGGUCAUUAGGUUGGUCGUGCCACCGGUACGUACUGGUCUCACUGAUUCCUCCUUCCUGAAGAACCGUAAUGCCAUUAAUUUGGUGUUGCGGGGAAACAGGACUGUUACUUUGAAAAAAUUAGAGUGUUUAAAGCAAGCUAACGCUCGAAUACAUUAGCAUGGAAUAAUGAAAUAGGACGAUCGAUCCUAUUUUGUUGGUUUCUAGGAUUGACGUA